Molecule: ribosomal RNA, 290 nt
Filed under: uncultured bacterium
Lineage: Bacteria
Description: partial 16S ribosomal RNA
Rfam family: Bacterial small subunit ribosomal RNA
Source: RNAcentral
GUGGAUUAGAUACCCUGGUAGUCCACGCCGUAAACGAUGAUAACUAGCUGUCCGGGGACCUGGUCUUUGGGUGGCGCAGCUAACGCAUUAAGUUAUCCGCCUGGGGAGUACGGCCGCAAGGUUAAGACUCAAAGGAAUUGACGGGGGCCUGCACAAGCGGUGGAGCAUGUGGUUUAAUUCGAAGCAACGCGCAGAACCUUACCAGCGUUUGACAUGUCCGGACGAUUUCCAGAGAUGGAUCUCUUCCCUUCGGGGACUGGAACACAGGUGCUGCACGGCUGUCGUCAACU